This 384-nucleotide long non-coding RNA is filed under the name Mytilus galloprovincialis (Mediterranean mussel). Lineage: Eukaryota; Metazoa; Mollusca; Bivalvia; Mytilida; Mytilidae. The record is from RNAcentral.
GGUUGAGUAGUUUUAGAGGAGAAGAUUUUUUAAAGUUGGCAAAUAUGAUGAACAAAUUGUGAAAAAUUGUCAUUAAAGGACAAUAACCCCUUAAGGGGUCAAUUGACAAUUUUGGUCAUUUUAACUUAUUUGUAGAUCUUACUUUGCUGAUCAUUUUUGCUGUUUACAGUUUAUCUUUAUCUAUAAUAAUAUUCAAGAUAAUGACCAAAAACUGCAAAAUUUCCUUAAAAUUACCAAUUAAGUGGCAGCAACCCAACAAUGGGUUGUUUGAUUCAUCUGAAAAUUUCAAGGCUGAGAGAUCUUGACCUAAUGAACAUUUUUACCCCAUGUCAGAUGUGCUCUAAAUGCUUUCGUUUUUGAGAUAUAAGCCAAAAACUGCAUUUU